This 493-nucleotide ribosomal RNA is filed under the name uncultured bacterium. RNAcentral describes it as "partial 16S ribosomal RNA". It matches the Rfam family "Bacterial small subunit ribosomal RNA", at positions 29 to 507 of the family's 1533-position model. The record is from RNAcentral.
ACGCACGCUGGCGGCGUGCUUAACACCUGCCAGUCGAACGGAAAGGCCUGCUUUCCCUUGUGGAUUGCGGGUACUCGAGUGGCGAACGGGUGAGUAACACGUGAGUGAUCUGCCCCCAACUUGGGUAUAAGCCUGGGAAACUGGGUCUAAUUCCCGAUAGGACUGCAGGGUGGUGCCUGUGGUGGAAAACGAUUUUCUAGUGGUUGGGGAUGAGCUCGCGGCCUAUCAGCUUGUUGGUGGGGUAAUGGCCUACCAAGGCGGCGACGGGUAGCCGGCCUGAGAGGGUGGACGGCCACAUUGGGACUGAGAUACGGCCCAGAAUCCUACGGGAGGCAGCAGUGGGGAAUAUUGCACAAUGGGCGGAAGCCUGAUGCAGCGACGCCGCGUGGGUGAUGACGGCCUUCGGGUUGUAAACUCCUUUCGACCGCGAGGAAGCCACCUGGUUGGAAGGGUGGUGACGGUAGUGGUAGAAGAAGCACCGGCUAACUACGUG